Molecule: ribosomal RNA, 258 nt
Filed under: uncultured Glomus
Lineage: Eukaryota; Fungi; Glomeromycota; Glomeromycetes; Glomerales; Glomeraceae
Description: partial 18S ribosomal RNA
Rfam family: Eukaryotic small subunit ribosomal RNA
Source: RNAcentral
AAGCUCGUAGUUGAAUUUCGGGAUCAAUAUUUUGGUCAUGCCAUUGGUAUGCACUGUUAUCAUUGAUUUUUCACUUUCUAAAGAACUGUAAUGCCAUUAAUUUGGUGUUACGGGAGUUAGAACUGUUACUUUGAAAAAAUUAGAGUGUUUAAAGCAAGCUCACACUUGAAUACAUUAGCAUGAAAUAAUGAAAUAGGACAUCCAAUUCUAUUUUGUUGGUUUCUAGGAUCGAUGUAAUGAUUAAUAGGGAUAGUUGGG